Molecule: long non-coding RNA, 1051 nt
Organism: Neopsephotus bourkii (Bourke's parrot)
Lineage: Eukaryota; Metazoa; Chordata; Aves; Psittaciformes; Psittacidae
Exons: 4
Source: RefSeq, a predicted model, not a curated record
CAAGAGAGCAAGAACAAACAAUAAUAUGCCCUUCUGAUUACAGCAAUGUUCUACUAAAACCACUGUGUAUAUGGAGUUGUAAAUUCAAUCAAAUUUAAAUAAUAAAAACCUUCCCUUUCUCUCACCAGUGACAGAACAGUACAACCCUUUGCCUUUCUUUUUCUUUUUUUCUUUUUUGUAAUUAAAAAUAGGUUGAACUUUAGGAGUGUUAUUGCACCACUUGAAGCAGUAGAAGAAGUGGAAUAAAGUGCAUCAUAAAAAGAUGCCACUGGGAUCAGUUAAAGUCAACAAAAUUGAAAACAUUUAGAAGGAACAAAGCCAAAAGCACAGAACCAGAUUUAAACGUGGCAUAUGCUGUGGCAGGAGGCCAGCGGAAGGAGAACUUGCUAGAGGAGUAACAACAGGGAGAGCUCCCUCCUGCAGCCCAUGGUCCAGGCAGUGAUCAGCAAAGCAGCAGAGGAAGUAAAAUGGGUGAAGUGAUGCUAUGAUGGAGAUCAACAGGAAGUUUUGGCCGCUAACUUGCAUUUCAGCUGAUGUGGUUUAACCAAGGGAAACAAAGGACAAAAAAGGCAGCUAAGCCUCCUCACUAGAAGAGAAAAAUAGGACAUAAAGCCAGGCAGGAGGAAAAGUUCAUGAUCUGGAGUCCUUGGACUUGCUGAAGUUUCUUGCUGUGUUUCUACAGAAAGUGGGCAAGCAGCUCCACCUCGCACCAAGCCACUGAAGUUUCUCCACCACCAGCCAGUUUUAACUAGGGCUGGUUUUGCCCAAACCACCACCACACUUAAACUGAAAACAAGUCUGACUGCAAAUAGAGACCUCCAUUCACAGAACUGGGGUCUACCAAGGCAACAAGGGGACCAUGCAUUGGCUCCAGUUGAUCUUAUGACUGAGUUGGAAGAUCUCUCCCUCAUAGAGACUGUCUGAUAUCCACUCAUGCAGACUGGAGCUGCACCUCUCCCCAAGGCUCAGCUUGACUGAAACAGGCCAACAGGUUCAGAAGUGAUUGGGUUAAGCAAACAUGCAUAUAUGUGGAAUGAUAAGAAACCUGGGU